Molecule: long non-coding RNA, 220 nt
Filed under: Hordeum vulgare
Lineage: Eukaryota; Viridiplantae; Streptophyta; Magnoliopsida; Poales; Poaceae
Description: long non-coding RNA (HVUL_LNC004057)
Source: RNAcentral
UGUGUGAUCAACAAAAACUUGUGCUUCUCAUUCAAUCUUUGUCGAACUAUGUUGAUGUGUGAUUAUGCACUUGUUGGGCCCUUUUGCUGUGCGCCUGCACUUGUAGAACUAUUUUGUUGUGCAUUUGUUGGGCCUUGAACCUUUAUGUGUAGAGGAGUUGAUUGAUGAUGUAUUGUAAUUCAUGUGAUGUGCUACUGAAAUGAAAUAUAUACAACUAAUU